This 508-nucleotide ribosomal RNA is filed under the name uncultured bacterium. RNAcentral's name for it is "partial 16S ribosomal RNA". It matches the Rfam family "Bacterial small subunit ribosomal RNA", at positions 28 to 523 of the family's 1533-position model. The record is from RNAcentral.
GAUGAACGCUAGCUACAGGCUUAACACAUGCAAGUCGAGGGGAAACGACAUCGAAAGCUUGCUUUUGAUGGGCGUCGACCGGCGCACGGGUGAGUAACGCGUAUCCAACCUGCCCACCACUUGGGGAUAACCUUGCGAAAGUAAGACUAAUACCCGAUGACGUCUCUAGAAGACAUCUGAAGGAGAUUAAAGAUUUAUCGGUGAUGGAUGGGGAUGCGUCUGAUUAGCUUGUUGGCGGGGUAACGGCCCACCAAGGCGACGACCAGUAGGGGUUCUGAGAGGAAGGUCCCCCACAUUGGAACUGAGACACGGUCCAAACUCCUACGGGAGGCAGCAGUGAGGAAUAUUGGUCAAUGGGCGAGGGCCUGAACCAGCCAAGUAGCGUGCAGGAUGACGGCCCUAUGGGUUGUAAACUGCUUUUAUAAGGGAAUAAAGUGAGUCUCGUGAGACUUUUUGCAUGUACCUUAUGAAUAAGGACCGGCUAAUUCCGUGCCAGCAGCCGCAGUAA